GUGCUGAACGAGCGCCGGAUGGGGGACGCGGCGCUGUUGCCGCUGCGGUUGUUCCGCCGCUCGGCGUUCGCGCUCAGCACG
Molecule: transfer RNA, 81 nt
Filed under: Amycolatopsis sp. YIM 10
Lineage: Bacteria; Bacillati; Actinomycetota; Actinomycetes; Pseudonocardiales; Pseudonocardiaceae
Description: tRNA-Asn
Source: RNAcentral